This 209-nucleotide long non-coding RNA is filed under the name Elaeis guineensis (African oil palm). RNAcentral's name for it is "long non-coding RNA (EGUI_LNC034013)". The record is from RNAcentral. Lineage: Eukaryota; Viridiplantae; Streptophyta; Magnoliopsida; Arecales; Arecaceae.
GCAUGUGUUGCAUUGUCUGGUAGGUUCACAGCAUAUUGUAGAGUUCCUCUGCCUAAAGACCUUUUACUCGAUAUCUGGCCUCUAUUGCCUAAAUAGACAACUCAAGAUAGGGAUGAAUUGGAUUUUAGAAAAAUUUAAAACUUAUCGUGCUCAAUAAUUAAACUAAAUGAAGCAAGGUGUAUGAGAGCUAAGCAAUAAACAAUAAUAUG